This is a long non-coding RNA of Erigeron canadensis, 1402 nucleotides long. RefSeq lists it as uncharacterized. The transcript is spliced from 4 exons. The record is from RefSeq and is a predicted model, not a curated record. Lineage: Eukaryota; Viridiplantae; Streptophyta; Magnoliopsida; Asterales; Asteraceae.
GAGAAAGUUUGAGAGAAUUUCUGAAAGAAUAGAAUCAAGCACUUAAGGAAGAGAAGGUGAUAUACUUUCUAUACACAAUCAUUAUGCAGCUCGAGAUACCCAAAAAAAAUAUGUGUGAUUAAUGUAUUUAAUGUUUGGAUGGUUCUUUUGUUAGUUAUAUUGGGACGACAUGUUCCAAUUCCGAAUACAGGGUCAAUCUGCUGAUCUAGAUAUCCACCAGUCCCGGGGCUAAUUGAAAAUAAAAAAAGUGGACAACACAUAUACUAAAUCGUCUCUACAUUCGGUGAGUUAUGGUUUAAGUUAGAAAAAAAGUUUCAGGUUCUAAGAUAGCGGCCUGGUGGAAGGUAAAAAAGUAGACAACCCAUAUACUAAAUCUGGUUGAUUUGGAUGGGUUGGGUAAUGGUCAAAGUGAACCGUUAUACAUUAAGAUCAAGGUGGGAAGUCACAUUUGACAACCUACAUUAUUUUGGAAAUUUUGAAGUAGUUGAGGUAUUAAUUAGAAUUGAAAGCUCAGUAACUUGUAAUGAUACUUUAACUUCAAAAGAAAAUCGUAUUUUCCCUGCACCUCUUAUGUACUUCCAGGUUGGAACAUAUUGGUGAAAGAAGAGUUGGCUCCUCGAUGUCAAUGAAAGGCUGAUGAAUUACUAUCAAGUUUGGAUGACACCUUUAAGUUCAGCUCGGUUAUAUAUAUGAUCUUGCAGCAUUUGGUUCCAAGACCAGAAUUGGAGCAGAUUAAGCAAGAGAUGCAAGAUAAGCCCACUGUUGUUUAGCUGGCAUCCGUGUUCAUCGCUCAGAAGUAGACAUGAGAAAGACAUGGAAAGAUAGGACCAGAUUGCAGGACAUGGAAAGAUAUCAUGAAGGCAAUAGCGAAAACUCAAAAGGAGUGCAGUGAAAGCGGGUCUACGAGUACAAGUCCUGAUCUCCGAAGGGUGCCCCGACCUUGGUGUGGGAGAACUUCGAAUCAACAGCAAGAAGUGAUGAUGGAAGUUACACUUAUAAUAUUUCUGAAGUACAAGGCCUAUUUCAAUAUGCUUUGCUAUGACGAUAAACAAGAGCCAAGGACAAUCACUCGAUUGUGUUGGUUUGUAUCUUCCACGACUAGUUUUUAGUCAUGGCCAAUUGUAUGUAGCAGUCUCGAGAGUCAAAAGCAAGAAAGGAUUGAAAAUUCUAAUACAAGAUAAAACAGUUGGAAGUCAAGAACACAACCACAAAUGUGGUCUACAAAGAAGUGCUUCAAUGCUUGUGAAGAUAAAUAUAUUGCUAACAAAGUCAUGGCAUAUUUCAAUCAAGCAGGAAACAUGUUUUGUUACAAAUACGCUUAAUGUCUUAUAUAAAUCCCGGCUUAAUAUCUUUUGUUACUACCUGUAAUAUCUAAUGUACAAAUCCUACUUUGUCCUGUUUA